Molecule: ribosomal RNA, 402 nt
Filed under: uncultured bacterium
Lineage: Bacteria
Description: bacterial SSU rRNA
Rfam family: Bacterial small subunit ribosomal RNA
Source: RNAcentral
UGGGGAAUAUUGCACAAUGGGGGAAACCCUGAUGCAGCAACGCCGCGUGAGUGAAGAAGUAUUUCGGUAUGUAAAACUCUAUCAGCAGGGAAGAUAAUGACGGUACCUGACUAAGAAGCUCCGGCUAAAUACGUGCCAGCAGCCGCGGUAAUACGUAUGGAGCAAGCGUUAUCCGGAUUUACUGGGUGUAAAGGGUGCGUAGGCGGCAGAGCAAGUCAGAUGUGAAAGACCGGGGCUCAACCCCGGGGCUGCAUUUGAAACUGUUUUGCUGGAGUCCGGGAGAGGCAGGCGGAAUUCCUAGUGUAGCGGUGAAAUGCGUAGAUAUUAGGAGGAACACCAGUGGCGAAGGCGGCCUGCUGGACCGGAACUGACGCUGAGGCACGAAAGCGUGGGGAGCAAACA